Molecule: long non-coding RNA, 270 nt
Filed under: Homo sapiens (human)
Lineage: Eukaryota; Metazoa; Chordata; Mammalia; Primates; Hominidae
Description: HSALNT0393247
Source: RNAcentral
UGAAGAUAUUUCAUUUUCCACCAUAGGUCUCAAGGCACUCGAAAUCUCCACUUGCAGAUUCUACAAAAAGCGUAUGUCAAAACUGAUCCAUGAAUAGAAAUGUUCAACUCUGGGAGAUAAACGUACACAUCACAAAGAAGUUUCUCAGAUUGCUUCUGUCUAGAUUUUAUGUGAAGAUAUUUCAUUUUCUACCAAAGGCCGCAAAGUGCUCAAAAUGUCCACUUGCAGAUUCUACAAAAAUAGAGUUUCCAAACUGCCCCAUCAAAAGAA